Non-coding RNA from Phoenix dactylifera (date palm), 407 nucleotides. The record is from RefSeq and is a predicted model, not a curated record. NCBI's taxonomy places the organism in Eukaryota, Viridiplantae, Streptophyta, Magnoliopsida, Arecales, Arecaceae.
AAGCCACCCGAGUCCUCUCUUCUUCCUUGUGCAGCCGCCCAAGAGGGAGAGAGAGGGAGAGAGAGAGGGAGGGAGCCGUCGGUGCCGGAUUUCUUUUUCGGGUGAUAUUCUUCCUCUGUUUGCCGCCGGAAGGGAGCCGCCGGAUCUUCGCCGGGGCUGAGGUUCUGCGAGGGAUUUGUGAGAUUAAUUGGAUUUGUUGUGGAUCGCGUUCGAUAUCCGAAGAAUUAGCUCGAUCCGGGGUUUUACAAUAUGGGAGUGCGAAUAAAAGAAUUAUGGCUCAAGUUAUCUUAGAUUAGGUUUUUAUUUAAUUUAAUGUUCCAUCUUUAUUGUUCCGCUGCGUAUUUAGAAUUGUGAGACUUUAUAAUUUAUGUCAGUCAAUGGAAUAAGAUUGCAUUUAUUUCAGUUGA